Molecule: long non-coding RNA, 281 nt
Filed under: Capsicum annuum
Lineage: Eukaryota; Viridiplantae; Streptophyta; Magnoliopsida; Solanales; Solanaceae
Description: long non-coding RNA (CANN_LNC003886)
Source: RNAcentral
CCUUUCACACUUCUUGGGCUAAGUUGGGCCUACUGCAUCUAUGUAUAAUUGCAAACCAGCUGUCCUCCUGGAUACAAAAUUGUGUGGUCAAGUCAAAAUCAUGUAAGAUGUGGGUACUUGAGGGGCUUAUAUUGGCAGCCAUCAUGCAGCUUGAUCGAAAACAAAUACGCCCAUCCAAACCAUUUACCUUAUUGAUCAAUAAGGUACAUUGCUCUGACUCUUCAAAAUUGUGCCAUAUUCAUGUCGGAUCUUUCAAAACUGCAUCGCUUUGGAAGUAUCCG